This 253-nucleotide ribosomal RNA is filed under the name uncultured bacterium. Its description in RNAcentral is "partial 16S ribosomal RNA". It matches the Rfam family "Bacterial small subunit ribosomal RNA", at positions 524 to 776 of the family's 1533-position model. The record is from RNAcentral.
UACAGAGGGGGCAAGCGUUGUUCGGAAUUACUGGGCGUAAAGGGCGCGUAGGCGGCCUUCUAAGUCGAACGUGAAAUCCCCGGGCUCAACCCGGGAACUGCGUCCGAUACUGGAAGGCUGGAGUGCGGCAGAGGAGACUGGAAUUCCUGGUGUAGCAGUGAAAUGCGUAGAUAUCAGGAGGAACACCGAUGGCGAAGGCAGGUCUCUGGGCUGACACUGACGCUCAUGCACGAAAGCGUGGGGAGCAAACAGG